AACGAACGCUGGCGGCAUGCUUAACACAUGCAAGUCGAACGAGUAAGAGCUCUAGCUCGCUAGAGAAUUCUGCUAGUGGCAAACGGGUGAGUAACGCGUGGGAAUCUACCCAUUAGUACGGAAUAACUCCUGGAAACAGGUGCUAAUACCGUAUAUUCUCUUCGGAGGAAAGAUUUAUCGCUAAUGGAUGAGCCCGCGUUAGAUUAGGUAGUUGGUAGGGUAAUGGCCUACUAAGCCUGCGAUCUAUAGCUGGUCUGAGAGGAUGAUCAGCCACACUGGAACUGCGACACGGUCCAG
Molecule: ribosomal RNA, 297 nt
Filed under: uncultured bacterium
Lineage: Bacteria
Description: partial 16S ribosomal RNA
Rfam family: Bacterial small subunit ribosomal RNA
Source: RNAcentral